RNAcentral lists this ribosomal RNA (438 nucleotides) under uncultured bacterium. RNAcentral describes it as "bacterial SSU rRNA". It matches the Rfam family "Bacterial small subunit ribosomal RNA", at positions 100 to 518 of the family's 1533-position model. The record is from RNAcentral.
CACGGGUGAGUAACGCGUAGAUAACCUGUCUUCACGUCUGGAAUAAUACGCCGAAAGGGGUACUAAUACCGGAUAUUCUUGCUUUUCAUAAGUUAUGCAAGCAAAGGUGGCCUCUGCAUAUGCUACUGCAUGAAGAGGGGUCUGCGUACCAUUAGCUAGUAGGUGGGGUAAUGGCCUACCUAGGCGACGAUGGUUAGCGGGUCUGAGAGGAUGAUCCGCCACACUGGCACUGGAACACGGGCCAGACUCCUACGGGAGGCAGCAGUGAGGAAUAUUGCGCAAUGGGGGAAACCCUGACGCAGCGACGCCGCGUGAGUGAAGGAAGGCCUUCGGGUCGUAAAGCUCUGUCAAGAGGAAAGAAGUGUACAAUGGCUAAUACCUGUUGUAUUUGACGGUACCUCUAAAGGAAGCACCGGCUAACUCCGUGCCAGCAGCCGC